Molecule: transfer RNA, 63 nt
Filed under: Tropidophis haetianus (Haitian dwarf boa)
Lineage: Eukaryota; Metazoa; Chordata; Lepidosauria; Squamata; Tropidophiidae
Description: tRNA-Gly
Source: RNAcentral
AUUUCUUUAGUAUACUAGUACAAAUGCCUUCCAAGCAUAAGGCCCCUAUGGCGGGAAGAAAUA